RNAcentral lists this long non-coding RNA (234 nucleotides) under Panax ginseng (ginseng). RNAcentral's name for it is "long non-coding RNA (PGIN_LNC004949)". The record is from RNAcentral. Lineage: Eukaryota; Viridiplantae; Streptophyta; Magnoliopsida; Apiales; Araliaceae.
UUUAAGUUGCUCUCGAUGGUGAUGGUGAAUUCUUAAUGGGUUUUGCCGAGAAUUGGUGUGAGAGAGGUUAGUUGAAAAUUGGUAGUCUGUGGUGACUGAAGAGAAGAUGUUCAAUUAUUGAGGAAAGUUGACUCGGUGGAGAAGAGGUUAGUAGACAAUUGGUAAUCCGUGGUGACUGAAGAGAAGAUAUUCAAUUAUUGAUGGAAGUUGACUCAGUGUAGAAAAAUGACCCAG